AAUGCAAUCCAACAUCGGGAUCUCGAUUCAUCAAUUUAUAAGUGUUUUAGACAAGUUAAAGGAUUAAACUACCUUGUAGGACCCACUAAUUAUGAGCACCCAUUUCCAGCUCAUUCUUUGCCCACGUGACAGCAACCCUCUCCAUUCCUUUCUUUUUUAUCUUGAGUGCAAGCUUCCCCAAUCAAGUACAGGCAUGGUGAUUGAAGCAUGGGGCUUCUCUUCCAUUAGUGUAUCCCCUUACAGUAUAAAUAGAGCUUCAUAUCAUCUCCAAAAAAAAUCACACCUCAAUCUUUAGCUUCUGUCUCUCAAUCUUGAUCUCUAUCUCCCUCUAUAUUACCUUGAAGAUCAUCACGAUAAACCACCAUUCCACCACCCCCUGUUGCCGCUGCUUUGAAACUAAAUUUUCUCGGAGAUUCGUAUUCACGGAAAACUACUUGACCUUCUUGCAUCCAUUCCAGAACGUUAUUCAUCUAUCGAACGUUAAAGUAGUGGUGCAUGAGCAUAGAUGUGAUGUUUUGGACGAGGGAUUAUGGAUAUAGGCCUGUAGAUAUGAAAUAAUGUAGUAAGGCUUAUAUUGUACUGUUUAUGCUUUUGAUCUGUACGAACAUGACAUCCCGAGUCUUUUAAUGAAAUACAUUUCUAUGGAAAUGCUUUUGAUAAAUCUUUAUCAUAUUUUGUAUUGGUACAAAUUCCGCAAUGCUUUUAUUUAAAAUGUUACUCUGAUUUUUAAACAAAGCAUAAACAAACCGGUCUUUUCUGGCCGUGAUUUUGGGGAUGUCACAGCAUGGGUCAGAGCACACUUCCUAGAUGCUUAAUAGGACCUUAAAACACUCUUUGGCAUGUUUCUUUAUGAGUGUACGGUCGUACACACUCAUGGUCCGUACACACACUGGUUGUACACACAUUAAAC
Lactuca sativa (garden lettuce) is the source of this 910-nucleotide long non-coding RNA. RefSeq lists it as uncharacterized. The record is from RefSeq and is a predicted model, not a curated record. NCBI's taxonomy places the organism in Eukaryota, Viridiplantae, Streptophyta, Magnoliopsida, Asterales, Asteraceae.